GACGAACGCUGGCGGCGUGCUUAACACAUGCAAGUCGAGCGAUGAAGCACCUUCGGGUGUGAAUUAGCGGCGAACGGGUGAGGAACACGUGAGAAAUCUGCCUUCAACACUGGGAUAACUCCGGGAAACCGGGGCUAAUACCGGAUAUGAAACCUGCGGGCAUCCGCGGGUUUGGAAAGUUUUUCGGUUGAAGAUGAUCUCGCGGCCUAUCAGCUUGUUGGUGAGGUAAUGGCUCACCAAGGCGACGACGGGUAGCCGGCCUGAGAGGGCGACCGGCCACACUGGGACUGAGACACGGCCCAGACUCCUACGGGAGGCAGCAGUGGGGAAUAUUGGGCAAUGGAGGAAACUCUGACCCAGCGACGCCGCGUGCGGGAUGAAGGCCUUCGGGUUGUAAACCGCUUUCAGCAGGGAAGAAGCGAAAGUGACGGUACCUGCAGAAGAAGCACCGGCUAACUAUGUGCCAGCAGCCGCGGUAAUACAUAGGGUGCAAGCGUUGUCCGGAAUUAUUGGGCGUAAAGAGCUCGUAGGUGGUUCGUCACGUCGGAUGUGAAACUCUGGGGCUUAACCCCAGACCUGCAUUCGAUACGGGCGAGCUUGAGUAUGGUAGGGGAGUCUGGAAUUCCUGGUGUAGCGGUGGAAUGCGCAGAUAUCAGGAGGAACACCAAUGGCGAAGG
This 677-nucleotide ribosomal RNA is filed under the name Candidatus Planktophila sp. RNAcentral's name for it is "bacterial SSU rRNA". It matches the Rfam family "Bacterial small subunit ribosomal RNA", at positions 28 to 721 of the family's 1533-position model. Lineage: Bacteria; Bacillati; Actinomycetota; Actinomycetes; Candidatus Nanopelagicales; Candidatus Nanopelagicaceae. The record is from RNAcentral.